GACGAACGCUGGCGGCGUGCUUAACACAUGCAAGUCGAACGGAAAGGCCCUGCUUUUGUGGGGUGCUCGAGUGGCGAACGGGUGAGUAACACGUGAGUAACCUGCCCUUGACUUUGGGAUAACUUCAGGAAACUGGGGCUAAUACCGGAUAGGAGCUCCUGCUGCAUGGUGGGGGUUGGAAAGUUUCGGCGGUUGGGGAUGGACUCGCGGCUUAUCAGCUUGUUGGUGGGGUAGUGGCUUACCAAGGCUUUGACGGGUAGCCGGCCUGAGAGGGUGACCGGCCACAUUGGGACUGAGAUACGGACCAGACGCCUACGGGAGGCAGCAGUGGGGAAUAUUGCACAAUGGGCGGAAGCCUGAUGCAGCAACGCUGCGUGCGGGAUGACGGCCUUCGGGUUGUAAACCGCUUUCGCCUGUGACGAAGCGUGAGUGACGGUAAUGGGUAAAGAAGCACCGGCUAACUACGUG
This 468-nucleotide ribosomal RNA is filed under the name uncultured bacterium. RNAcentral's name for it is "partial 16S ribosomal RNA". It matches the Rfam family "Bacterial small subunit ribosomal RNA", at positions 28 to 507 of the family's 1533-position model. The record is from RNAcentral.